Long non-coding RNA from Ipomoea nil (Japanese morning glory), 799 nucleotides. RefSeq lists it as uncharacterized. The record is from RefSeq and is a predicted model, not a curated record. The transcript is spliced from 3 exons. Lineage: Eukaryota; Viridiplantae; Streptophyta; Magnoliopsida; Solanales; Convolvulaceae.
AAGGGCAAAAUCGGAUGUCUCAACGACUAUGGCGGCUCUUCAGAUUGUCUGUUGAGUCCACCUAAGACCCAAUCUAGGUCGGUUUCUGCCGGAAGCUAUGGAGAUUUUCCGGCUGCUAAUCUCGUUCUACUUGACAGUAACACCAUCAAUUUUGAGUUGGAAGGUCUUUCACCGCCAAAGGGAAAGAGAAAUCACUACUUGAACAUAGAAGAUGAAUCUGCAGAAAAGCAGUUGGCAAUUUACAAUGACGAAAUAGAGUCGCCAUUAGAGAAGUUGAACGAACUUAUCCUAUGCAACUCGUAAGAACCCAGGAAGCUCCGGAUCACCGGAAUCGAUCUCCCCAGCCGGGGUUCAAGCCGGCGGAGAGAGUGGAGGCGCCCGGAGCGACAUCGUCCUAGGUUUAAUCAAGCAAAUCCGCCCCGACAUCUUCAUCCACGGCGUCGGCAACGGCACGUACAACUCCCAAUUCUUCACGACGCGGUUCCGGGAGGCCGUCUUACACUGUAACACCCCGAGGAAAUUGAAGUAAAAAACAAAGAGGUGGAAGAAGAGAACGGUGCCGUUUUACUGCAAUUGAGAGUUGUUGGGCUGAGAUCCAAACAAUGCCAUUUCAACUUAGAUAUUUUACUGUGCUUCUGUUUUGCUUGUUAGAGGUUGUUAGAAGUCUAGAUUUUAGAUAAAUAGCAGACAUAGAUGGUAAUUGGUAGGGAGGUAUGUGGAUUUUGAUAUUGAAAACACUCUCUAAUGGGGUGUUUGGUUGGAUGUAAUUGUAAUUCUUUUCCUACCUUAUUCAAUGACA